CGGGUGAGUAACGCGUGAGGAACCUGCCUCAAAGAGGGGGACAACAGUUGGAAACGACUGCUAAUACCGCAUAAGCCCACGGCUCGGCAUCGAGCAGAGGGAAAAGGAGUGAUCCGCUUUGAGAUGGCCUCGCGUCCGAUUAGCUGGUUGGUGAGGUAACGGCCCACCAAGGCGACGAUCGGUAGCCGGACUGAGAGGUUGAACGGCCACAUUGGGACUGAGACACGGCCCAG
This 233-nucleotide ribosomal RNA is filed under the name uncultured bacterium. Its description in RNAcentral is "partial 16S ribosomal RNA". It matches the Rfam family "Bacterial small subunit ribosomal RNA", at positions 103 to 334 of the family's 1533-position model. The record is from RNAcentral.